GGGUUGUGAGGUUAAGCGACUAAGCGUACACGGUGGAUGCCCUGGCAGUCAGAGGCGAUGAAGGGCGUGCUAAUCUGCGAUAAGCGCCGGUAAGGUGAUAUGAACCGUUAUAACCGGCGAUACCCGAAUGGGGAAACCCAGUGUGACUCGUCACACUAUCAUUAACUGAAUCCAUAGGUUAAUGAGGCGAACCGGGGGAACUGAAACAUCUAAGUACCCCGAGGAAAAGAAAUCAACCGAGAUUCCCCCAGUAGCGGCGAGCGAACGGGGAGGAGCCCAGAGCCUGAAUCAGCAUGUGUGUUAGUGGAAGCGUCUGGAAAGGCGCGCGAUACAGGGUGACAGCCCCGUACACAAAAGCG
RNAcentral lists this ribosomal RNA (359 nucleotides) under Salmonella enterica. RNAcentral's name for it is "partial 23S ribosomal RNA". It matches the Rfam family "Bacterial large subunit ribosomal RNA", at positions 1 to 387 of the family's 2925-position model. The record is from RNAcentral. RNAcentral also lists the same sequence under 2 other names. Lineage: Bacteria; Pseudomonadati; Pseudomonadota; Gammaproteobacteria; Enterobacterales; Enterobacteriaceae.